GCGGAGGGAUCAUUAUUGCGUUUACAACUCCCAAACCCCUGUGAACAUACCAAUUGUUGCCUCGGCGGAUCAGCCCGCUCCCGGUAAAACGGGACGGCCCGCCAGAGGACCCCUAAACUCUGUUUCUAUAUGUAACUUCUGAGUAAAACCAUAAAUAAAUCAAAACUUUCAACAACGGAUCUCUUGGUUCUGGCAUCGAUGAAGAACGCAGCAAAAUGCGAUAAGUAAUGUGAAUUGCAGAAUUCAGUGAAUCAUCGAAUCUUUGAACGCACAUUGCGCCCGCCAGUAUUCUGGCGGGCAUGCCUGUUCGAGCGUCAUUUCAACCCUCAAGCCCCCGGGUUUGGUGUUGGGGAUCGGCGAGCCUCACGGCAAGCCGGCCCCGAAAUACAGUGGCGGUCUCGCUGCAGCUUCCAUUGCGUAGUAGUAAAACCCUCGCAACUGGUACGCGGCGCGGCCAAGCCGUUAAACCCCCAACUUCUGAAUGUUGACCUCGGAUCAGGUAGGAAUACCCGCUGAACUUAAGCAUAU
RNAcentral lists this ribosomal RNA (528 nucleotides) under Fusarium sp. DK9. RNAcentral describes it as "eukaryotic LSU rRNA". The stretch from base 164 to 317 matches the Rfam family "5.8S ribosomal RNA". The record is from RNAcentral. Lineage: Eukaryota; Fungi; Ascomycota; Sordariomycetes; Hypocreales; Nectriaceae.